GAGGUCCAGCUCGUGGUGCAGCCGCAGGCUCUGGACCCUGGGAAGGACGGCGGGACGCUGAGCACCGCAGGCUGGGACCGCGCUCACGGGUGGGGAGAACGUGCUCCCGGGAGCACCGACACUCCAGGUGCUGGGAAGGCGCGUCGGGAACUUCCGUGCCGGGACGGCAAACACCCGCCCCGGAGCGUCCGGUCCCUGCUCCACACGAACAGUUCACCCGUGCCGAGGCCACGGGGGCCUCCGCCGUGGCCGCUCCGGUUUCCACCUGAGCCAGAUUCGUCCCUGCCCGGCUCUGCCCCACGACAGCGCACACCCCGCACCCCAGGAAGGACAAAGGGCUUCCAGCGCAGGCUGCCUCCUGGCCGGGGCUGCCCACCACCGUGCCCCGUCUGGGAGGACCAGAUGGACCCAAGGGCCUGUGUGUCGCCGCUCGCAGCCACCUGCUCUCCAGAUACCCGGCGCCGGCAUCCGGCCACCCCGGGGUCCCCCACCUCCCCAGCACGAUCAAGGCCACAGCUCUAGAGACCAUCCGGCAAGCGUGCGGGUUACUGCAGAAGACACACGCCCAAUGCACUUGCGUCUGCCCCGUGUUUCCUGAGUGCCCCCAAACGCCAGGUGCCAUCUGGGCGUGGGCUGCGUGGGGACCACAGGCCAAGCAGCAGGGUGGGGCUUACAUUCAAGGGGGAAGAAAAAGAAAAACAGAGGAGCACACCCCAAAUAGGAGGUCAUGGGGUGGGGGGAGGAUCCGAGGCCAGGACAGCCGGAAAAAAGCCCGCUGGUGGCUGGAGGGGGCCUCUCGAGGACCCUAGUCCUGCAAGGUGAGAUGCCAGACAGACGGGAACGCCCCGAGCAGGGAGGGAGCGGCCAGCCGCCAGCUGGAGGCCCCGCAGGAGCAGGAGUUGUGGGAGGGGUGGGUGGGGAGGCAGGCUGAGACCAGGUCCAAGUAGCCAGCAGGGCUAGGGCGGGCUGGGGAGCGCUCUAGGUUCACCCCUGCGUGUGACAAGAAGCUGUUCCUGGGGACGGUGUCCCAGCCCCACUGACCCCAGCUGACCCGUUCAGGUACCCCCCACUCAGAAGGAACACGAGCCGGCAGUGCACCCGGCAGCACAGGGGCGCGGCGGGGAGGGAAUCGAUACAGAAUCGUGGUGCUGCCGGUGGCCGUGGCCUCCCCCUGCGUGCUGUGUGCAGGGACAACCCCUCCGCCGGAGGAGAAGGCUGGCCCUCCUACCUGGGCACUCUGCAACACUCCGCCCGGGAGAGCUGGGGCCCCUUUCCUGCACCGGGGAGGUCGGGGAGCAGGAAGGACACCGUGAACACAGAUGCAGGUGAGGAAGAGGAAGACGGGGUCAGAGAGGGUGAGGAGGAGCAGGGCUCUCGGGGAAGGGCGCCGCUUCCUGUCCCGCUCCACCAAAGGCCCUGUGCGGACACCCCAGCACCCCAGGACCUCAGGGACAGUGACCACUAUCGCCUGGAAUGGCCUCGGAGCCUUCACGAGGCGCCACGACCGCACCCGGGGUAGCUCACGUGGCUGAGGCUGUAGGAGGCACGUCCCACCAGGUGGGGGCCCAGCCAACCACAGACACAAGCCACCGGGUCUGUCCUCGAAUCGGACACCACCACACGGACGAGCAGAGGGCCCCCAUCCCACGGGGGACGUGCCACCGAAGUGCACGCUUGGGAACCACCGGACACCAGGCCCGGCAGCGCCAAAUCAUCAGACUCCCAGAGCUGGGGGAGGCGGCUUCUGCUCACCAAAACGUGAACAGUGGCGAAUGCCGGCUUCCCCGAGCUCACGCCGGAGACACUCCGCCCGACACCCUACUCGGCUGCCCUGCACACACCCAGGGGCAGCCGCACGCCCCACCCCCACCCGGGGACCGUCCCUGCAGACAGGAACGUCAGCUCCUUCCCCGCCCCAGAAGCAGCUCCAGCAAGAAAGUCCUGGAGCCCCACACGACACAGGCCAGAGCCUACCCUGGCCCUUCCAGGAAGCUGUGGCUGCCCGAUGUGGGCCAAGGCGUUCCCGUCCCGUAGCAACGACCACGGACAGAGAAAACUCGAGAAGCAGGGAAACCGAACACGUUUUUCAAGUUAAACACUCAUGUGCCUCAACGUCCAGCAGGACGGCAUCUGCUGCCAGCGGUAUGGGAACGACCCCGAGGAGGAACAGGUGCUGUCGUCCUCAGAGGCGGGCGCUGUGCGGCCCGAACCUGUUCCGUUCGAGGAAGGUGGGAUCACCCGCCAGCCUCCCAGAAGGGGAAACUGCAGAUGGGCAGACGUGCGCUCUACCCUCCGGUGCUGAAGAUGAAGGGUUAACUAAAGAAACGGGGACCCUGCCCUACCUUCUCAUCCCAUCACUGCCCACGCCAUGCCCACGCGCACGCGCUCCACUCAGGCCGCCCCGGCGGGAGACCGAGCGCGCGCUCUGUUCUACGAGGCGUUUCGUGUCGGGCAGUAAGACGUAGGCUGGACCCACGCCCUGCGCAGAGACAAGCCGCGCUUCGAAAGCUGAACCGUGAAGGCACUGGCCCUUGAGUUGCGAGGAUCCUGAGCUCGGCCGGGAAGGAUUCCUGCUCGUCCCUCUGACCGCAGGCCGAGAACCAAAAUGACUCUUUUUCUGGAAGUCUGUGACUUGCCAGGGGUGACGGUGGGUAUUAUGACAUGGAGGCGAGCCUCCGCGGACCACCCCAGUCUUUCACGAAACCAUUGCGAUUUCCAAGACUAGAACUUGGAGAGAAUGAAAACCAGGCGGCCAGGGCGCGUGUGGCCAGGGGCUGGACCGUGUCUGCACGCCACCGUCGUCCCCCGACCACAGGCAGCGAGCACGAUGCUCUCUGGAGUCGUCACAAGUUCUCUAGGUCCUCAGGCCUCCUACUGGGUGUCGGCAUGAAUGUAAAGAUGUCACCAAGGGAGGUGAUUCGUCAGCUGCCCGCGAACUGCCAGGCCUGACGGGGGCAGCCUCCUGACUGUCUCAGCCAGAAGAGCCAUUUCUCAUGCACGUCUUUUUGAAAAACCAAACAUCAAAUCGUCUGCACUAAUUUUACUCCCCCCAGCUUGGCUUCGCCCUCCCUUGUCUGGCCGAGCGCCCACAUGCUACCACCUCCGGAAGCCUCUGGGCCUUCCCGGGAGCUCCCGGAGCCAGACCAGAGCCCGCCCGCCACCCGCCAGCACCGGGGCGGCCUCGCGGACACACGGGCCACGCAGCUCACCAGGACAGGCAGUCCUUGAGGGCAUUGUAAUAGGGCAGCUUGGAGACCACGCACACGGCGAAGGGGACAAAGCAGCCAGCCACGCCCGCCGUCGGCCAGGACGGCUCCCAGUGCGCCUUGCCAUUGUAGAAACACGAUGCGUCCUGCAGAGAAAGCCACAGGCCCGUGUCACCUCCUGGCCCAGCCGCUCCCGGCUUCUACCAUCAGCAGCGUGGGCCCCUGCAGACUGGGGCGAGAGGGCAAGGGCCUGGACAGCACGAGCUCCCCCACCGCCCGGCCCGCACUCCCUCUGGAGUCCCAGUCCGUGUGGAUGGUGCCCUCGUCAUGCCACUGGGGGCCCCAGUCACAGCAGACGGGCCCCGGUGUCUCUGGGAGCCCCAGUCCACACAGGACACCCCCCUCCCCGCUCCCGGUGCCUGCUGUCCGCGGUUCAUGACGUGCUGAGGUGGCAGAGGUGGUGAGACCCGCCCCGCCCGGGGGGAAGGGACCCACAGCGAGAACAGAACCGGCUGCGGGCUCUGCUCACGAAGGAAAAAAGCUGCAGCGCCGAGCGUUUGUGUGUGUGCUGGGGCGGGGGAGGGUCUCAGCUGGAGAACGCACCCGGCGCCGGGAUUCCAGAGGCACAGACCACCACGGAGCUUACGAGUGGCAUGUCACGGGGGGGCCACAAUCCGGCCCCCACGGUGGGUGGUUUGGGGUGUCGGGAGGGAUGGCGGUGGCACCACAGCUUCACCUGUGGCUGGUGCCAACGCAAGGGUCUUGCGAGACAGGUGCCGGCAGACCCGGCAGCAGCGGGCGCGUUGUUCGUCUGCCCACCGACAUCGAACCGACGCCCACUGCCCACAGGUCAGUGUGCUGGGGGCCCCAGGCAAGUCACCCCCCUCCCCGUGCGACUGCUCGCGUCCUCAUCUGGAGAGCGGGCUCGGUGCACUGUGCUGCGGAUUAAAUGAGAGCAGGAGGGUCGUGCCUGGAGCGGGCGGCCGGCACAGGAGGACCACAGCACCGUCUGCACUCCGGGAGGGGCCGUGCGCGCAAGGCGGGACGUGGGUGGUCCCUGGACACACGGGGAGGGAGGGGAGGCUGGCACGUAGGGCCCGGGGAACACCCCGAAACCAUGCAGGCUCUGAGAGGACAGGCGAGCGGCCGUGCACACCCCAAAAGCCAGGUGUAGGGGGAGUCACAGGCAAAGCUGAGGGCUGUGACCUUUUUUAAAUUCAUGUAAUGAUAAUAAAAAUAACAUGUACUUCUCAUA
This is a long non-coding RNA of Mustela erminea (ermine), 4461 nucleotides long. RefSeq lists it as uncharacterized. NCBI's taxonomy places the organism in Eukaryota, Metazoa, Chordata, Mammalia, Carnivora, Mustelidae. The transcript has 2 exons. The record is from RefSeq and is a predicted model, not a curated record.